Molecule: microRNA precursor, 167 nt
Filed under: Medicago truncatula (barrel medic)
Lineage: Eukaryota; Viridiplantae; Streptophyta; Magnoliopsida; Fabales; Fabaceae
Description: MIR2619 microRNA precursor family
Rfam family: MIR2619 microRNA precursor family
Source: Rfam by way of RNAcentral
AAACCGCCCCCUAAGUUUUACAACUGUAGCAGUUUUGGUCCCCCAAGGAAAAAAAACAAAAAAAAAACAUGUGGCACCUCACUUAGGGUGCCACGUCAGCGUAGACCGAAUCAAAAUUGGUCUUGGGGGCCAAAACCGCCACAUGUGCAAAACUUAAGGGGCGGUUU